Molecule: transfer RNA, 92 nt
Filed under: Ectopseudomonas mendocina
Lineage: Bacteria; Pseudomonadati; Pseudomonadota; Gammaproteobacteria; Pseudomonadales; Pseudomonadaceae
Description: Pseudomonas mendocina tRNA-Pro(ggg)
Source: RNAcentral
CGCAGGGUGCGCUGCGGGUCGAAGCGCUCGCGCGGGUUGCGGGCAGCGAAGAACAGGGUGUCGAUCGCCUGGUUACCUUCCAGGUCGUGCAG